RNAcentral lists this transfer RNA (75 nucleotides) under Cytophagales bacterium. Its description in RNAcentral is "tRNA-Val". It matches the Rfam family "tRNA". From Rfam's summary of the family: Transfer RNA (tRNA) molecules are approximately 80 nucleotides in length. Their secondary structure includes four short double-helical elements and three loops (D, anti-codon, and T loops). The record is from RNAcentral. Lineage: Bacteria; Pseudomonadati; Bacteroidota; Cytophagia; Cytophagales.
AGGCUUUUAGCUCAGCUGGUCCAGAGUGUCUGUUUUACACGCAGAAGGUCGUAGGUUCGAAUCCUACAAGGUCUA